CCAAAGUUUUAAGACACCAGAGGGGUAAUUGCGGGAUUUCAUAGAUACUUUUCAUUGACUGACUGACGCAUGCUCUCCUUCACCGCCCUCACAAUCAAGUCAUGCAUUGAAUAUCUCGUCUCUUCCUUCCCCUAACGGAUCAAAACCCUAACAAUUCAUAAACUUCAUCUCAUCAGCUCCUAUCUGUGAUUAUUUCAAUUCUUUCCCCCAACAGAGAUACACUUGAAAUCGAUGAAUGGGUGUAGAAAUCGAUCAAAUGGUACCUGUAAUUGCACUCGGUUUGGGUUAGUUUCGAGAAUGGGAGAAGAAUUGAAGAUUGAUCCGUUUCGUGGGUGACUUGGUGCGCAUAUCUAAGGCCCGUGACAACCGGAUCAACUACUGUUCAAGUUGAGAAUAUUGAAAGAGCAAUCGAGAGGCAAAGAGUCGUUCAAGAGCACCUUCAUCUGUCGUCCUUCGAUUUUUCAAUCUCUUUUCCAAUUGAUCGUGACGAUGAACAGAAGAAACUGUUGAUGUUGAAUGAUGAUGAGUCCACACCAAAAGAUAAAGGUUAUGGUUGGGGACCAAAAUGUCGGAAUUAUUGGAUUAAUCAGAUUUUUAAAAGGGUUGCUACAUAAAAGUUAAUGGCAACUGCAGACCUCAACACACUUGCAUAGAAGUUGUUCGUUUCGGCUCACACUAUCUGAGAAAAUCCAACAUUCAACAUUAAUCAAUAAAAAGGUAACUUUAACAACUUACAAGCAAUUGAACAUCAACAAUUUUGCAAACGAUCUUAGGAGAUAGUCCAAAAGAAGGAACAAUUUUACAUUAAUUAUAAUGAUCGACUUAAAUUGAUUCUAUAUGUGAAUUAUUUCUAUCCAAGUUUUUAUUUAUGGUUUGUUAAAAAUCAUCAUGUUCCCCGCUGCGGAGUGCAAGUCCUCUCGGCUCUGGACCAGUUCCGUGCAACUGAACCCAACGUUUUCUUUGCCGACUUCUCUUUUGUUGUUCACAGGUUCUUUGUGUCUGACGAUGCCAAAUCAACAGUGACGAUGGCAACAAUGCGACCAAUGGCGAUGACAGUGUUGUUGUCAUCAAGGGGGUUGUAUCUCUGUAUAUACAUGCCCGCAACCUCUGUAUUUUCCUGUCUUUGUUCAUAGCAGGAGCUUUUUUAUCCAUUAUUGUAAUUGGUGUGCUCGAUCUAUAUCCUGUCUUUGCAUUAGAUAACUUCACCACUAGGUAAACGUCCGUAUCCUGCUAAAUCAAUUGAUGUUGUUUUACAAUAGCAAUUCUUAAUUGAUUUGUAGGAGUUUUUUAGAUUUGGGACUAAGGGCUCUUGAGUUCCUACAAU
Helianthus annuus (common sunflower) is the source of this 1324-nucleotide long non-coding RNA. RefSeq lists it as uncharacterized. The record is from RefSeq and is a predicted model, not a curated record. The transcript has 3 exons. NCBI's taxonomy places the organism in Eukaryota, Viridiplantae, Streptophyta, Magnoliopsida, Asterales, Asteraceae.